UAUCCCUUGACCCCGCUAUCUAGAAGAGCUCUAUCUAACUCUCUCUUGCUGAAGGGUCUAGACCCGAAACGUCGUCUGUGAACUCUUUUCUAUCGAUGCUGCCUAGCCUGCUGAGUUCCUCCAGCACUUUGUGGGUGAUGUUACGCAGCUGCUGGAAAUCUUGACAAAGACACACGACAGUCCACGUGUUGGGCCGGGACUCUAUCCGUCAAAGACGGGAAGCAAUAUUAGGCUAUAUAUUUCAUACAUAUUGCUAGAAUGGAAAGUCCAGGGCCAGAGGGCACCGCUUAAGAAUAGAAGAACGUCCCUUUAGAACAGAAUCAAGAAAUAAUUUAUUUAGCCAGAGGAUGGUGAAUCUGUGGAAUACUGUAGAGGCCAAGUGAUUUAAAACAGGUUAAUAGGUUUUUCAUUAGUCAGGGUGUCCAAGGUUAUGGGGAGAUGGCAGGAGAUUGGGGUUGAGGGGGAUAAUAAAUCAACCAUGAUGGAAUGGCAGAACAGAUUCAAUGGGCAGAAUGGCCUAAUUCUGUUCCUACGACUUAUGGUCUCAUAUAAAUUUUACCGCGUUUAAAGGACAUUACCAUUAUUUCUAACGUUGCACGCCAGUACUGACUAUCGGUCAUUCUUGUAAUGGUGUAUACUGUGUCGGGGUAGGGAGGGAAAACAUCUGGGGAAUUUUCAAUAAAGUUGCUGGACAAUGUCGAUAGAAAUUGAAGUUCUCGUCCCUUGUUUCUUUCAGAACGGGCCGGACUCACCGGGGAGGAGAGCGGACAGGGGGCAAUACCUGUCCAUUUCGAAAAUGUGAGCACUGCGAUCUCAAUGCAAACAUUCAAGAGAAAAUACGUGUCACAUAUACAAGAUGUAUAACAGUGAAGAAGCUGAAAUGGUGUGCUUGGAGGAGCCGGUGUUUUCUAAAUGGGACUUGGGUGAAAUGUCAGAUAUGACACAAUUUCGCAAGAAUGGAACGGCCUCCCGGGCAGAGUUGGUAGCCUUUGCCAACUUGUUUAAGUAACUGAGACAGCGAACCGCUCCGGCUAAUCAAUACUUCAGCGUGACGUAUCAGAAAGGAAUAAACUGUUUGCUUAAAAUGGCCGAGCACAUAAAGAGAGGGGGGAUCGGAUUUUUCGGUUUACAAACGGGAAGAAAUGGGUUUAACACUCAUCUCCCAGGCCCCUACGCAGCAAAUUCCCGGCUGGAUAGUAGGAAUGAACCGCAAUGAACUGAAAGUGUUCACAACUGAGACGGAACAGGAGAAGGAAACUCCGUCUGUUCAGGAUUGCUUUAAUGAAUGGAGGGGACACUCGGCCGCUGACAAGUUGUUUCACUUCUGCCGGAGCUCUGGAGUGUGACAAUGGUGUUUGUGUACAGUGAAAUCAAACGCCAUUAUCACACUAAAUAGCUGGGGCAGAAAUCGGCUACGAUGCGACGUACCUGAGCAGGAAGUCUUCACAAACCCCUCGCGCAGUUCGAAGGGCUAAGGGAAUUGCUCAGGGAACCAGAUACGCUCUCAAUAUGAACCAGUACCCAACUAGUUUAGCAAAUAGUUCUAAAGCCCAGCGGGUCUUUGGGCCUGAGAUGGUUCAGAUGAUGUUGAGGAAUAAGCAAGUAAAAUUAAAGGAAAUAUAUGGCAGAAGUAGUUUUGAAAUUAGGAUUAGGCAAGUCAAUUUUAUACACAGGAGGUACCUAAUGAAGAGACCACUGAAUAACAUGCUCGUGGUCUGCCGCUGUAGCCCAUCCACUUAACAGCUCAACGUGUUGUUUUCAGAGCUUCCCUGCACACCACUGUUGUAAUGCGUGAUUAUUUGAGUUGCUGUCACCUUCCCAUUAGCUUGAUGCCGGUCAGACCAUUCUCUUCUGACCUCUCUCAUUAACCAAGCAUUUUUGCCCACAAAACUGCCACUCACGGCAUGUUUCUCUGCAAACUCUAGAGACCGUCGAGCAUGAAGGUCCCAGGAGAUCAGUAGUUUCUAAGAUUCAAACCACCCUGUCUGGCACUGACGAUCAUUCCAUCAUCAAAGUAAUCUCGAUCACAUUUCUUUCCCAUCUGAUCAACAACUAAACCCCUUGCCCAUGCCUGCAUGCAUUUAUGCAUUGAGUUACUGCCGCAUGAUUGGCUGAUUAGAUAUUGGCAUUAACCAGCAGGUUUACAGGUGUUCUUAAUAAAGUGGCCACUGAGCGUUAUAUCAGUUGAGAUCCAUUUUCUUGCGGGUAUUUACAGGAAAAUAAAGAAAUACAAUUGAAUUUAUUGCUUAUUUAUAAUAAUUAUUUAUUUAUCUUUGUAUUUGCCCGGUUUGUUGUCUUUUGCACACUGGCUGAAUGCCAACAUUCAUUGAUUCUACUAUCGUUAUUAUUCAAUAGAUUUAUUGACUAUGCCCAUAAGAAAAUUUAUCUUGGGAUUGUAUGUUGUGAUAUAUAUGUACUUUAAUAAUAAAUUUACUUUGAACCUUGAA
This is a long non-coding RNA of Hypanus sabinus (Atlantic stingray), 2447 nucleotides long. RefSeq lists it as uncharacterized. The record is from RefSeq and is a predicted model, not a curated record. The transcript is spliced from 2 exons. NCBI's taxonomy places the organism in Eukaryota, Metazoa, Chordata, Chondrichthyes, Myliobatiformes, Dasyatidae.